RNAcentral lists this ribosomal RNA (468 nucleotides) under uncultured bacterium. RNAcentral describes it as "partial 16S ribosomal RNA". It matches the Rfam family "Bacterial small subunit ribosomal RNA", at positions 28 to 507 of the family's 1533-position model. The record is from RNAcentral.
GACGAACGCUGGCGGCGUGCUUAACACAUGCAAGUCGAACGGAAAGGCCCUGCUUUUGUGGGGUGCUCGAGUGGCGAACGGGUGAGUAACACGUGAGUAACCUGCCCUUGACUUUGGGAUAACUUCAGGAAACUGGGGCUAAUACCGGAUAGGAGCUCCUGCUGCAUGGUGGGGGUUGGAAAGUUUCGGCGGUUGGGGAUGGACUCGCGGCUUAUCAGCUUGUUGGUGGGGUAGUGGCUUACCAAGGCUUUGACGGGUAGCCGGCCUGAGAGGGUGACCGGCGACAUUGGGACUGAGAUACGGCCCAGACUCCUACGGGAGGCAGCAGUGGGGAAUAUUGCACAAUGGGCGGAAGCCUGAUGCAGCAACGCCGCGUGCGGGAUGACGGCCUUCGGGUUGUAAACCGCUUUCGCCUGUGACGAAGCGUGAGUGACGGUAAUGGGUAAAGAAGCACCGGCUAACUACAUG